GACGAACGCUGGCGGCGUGCUUAACACAUGCAAGUCGAACGGAAAGGCCCUGCUUUUGUGGGGUGCUCGAGUGGCGAACGGGUGAGUAACACGUGAGUAACCUGCCCUUGACUUUGGGAUAACUUCAGGAAACUGGGGCUAAUACCGGAUAGGAGCUCCUGCUGCAUGGUGGGGGUUGGAAAGUUUCGGCGGUUGGGGAUGGACUCGCGGCUUAUCAGCUUGUUGGUGGGGUAGUGGCUUACCAAGGCUUUGACGGGCAGCCGGCCUGAGAGGGUGACCGGCCACAUUGGGACUGAGAUACGGCCCAGACUCCUACGGGAGGCAGCAGUGGGGAAUAUUGCACAAUGGGCGGAAGCCUGAUGCAGCAACGCCGCGUGCGGGAUGACGGCCUUCGGGUUGUAAACCGCUUCCGCCUGUGACGAAGCGUGAGUGACGGUAAUGGGUAAAGAAGCACCGGCUAACUACGUG
RNAcentral lists this ribosomal RNA (468 nucleotides) under uncultured bacterium. RNAcentral describes it as "partial 16S ribosomal RNA". It matches the Rfam family "Bacterial small subunit ribosomal RNA", at positions 28 to 507 of the family's 1533-position model. The record is from RNAcentral.